AACGAACGCUGGCGGCGUGUUUAAGACAUGCAAGUCGCACGGGACUAUUUGAGUAGCAAUACAAGAAUAGUCUAGUGGCGCACGGGUGAGUAACACGUGAAUUACAUGCCCUGCAGAGGGGGAUAGCCCAGGGAAACUUGGAUUAAUACCCCAUGGUAUCGCGAGAUUAAAGGUGGCCGCAAGGCUGUCGCUGCAGGAUUGGUUCGCGCCCUAUCAGCUUGUUGGUGAGGUAACGGCUCACCAAGGCUACGACGGGUACCUGGUCUGAGAGGACGAUCAGGCACACUGGAACUGAGACACGGUCCAGACACCUACGGGUGGCAGCAGUCGAGAAUAAUUCACCAUGGGGGCAACCCUGAUGGUGCAACGCCGCGUGGAGGAUGAAGGUCUUCGGAUUGUAAACUCCUGUCAUCCGGGAGUAAGACCUGGCGAUGAAUAGUCGACAGGGUUGAUAGUACCGGAAGAGGAAGGGACGGCUAACUUCGUGCCAGCCGCCGCAGUAA
This 503-nucleotide ribosomal RNA is filed under the name uncultured bacterium. RNAcentral's name for it is "partial 16S ribosomal RNA". It matches the Rfam family "Bacterial small subunit ribosomal RNA", at positions 29 to 523 of the family's 1533-position model. The record is from RNAcentral.